RNAcentral lists this small RNA (568 nucleotides) under Pan troglodytes (chimpanzee). RNAcentral's name for it is "processed transcript". Lineage: Eukaryota; Metazoa; Chordata; Mammalia; Primates; Hominidae. The record is from RNAcentral.
CUUCUUAGCCGUGGCUGCCUCAGAACCUCGAGGAUCGACAUGGACGCUCUCGAGGACUACGUUUGGCCGCGGGCAACCUCGGAGCUUAUACUCCUCCCAGUGACGGGUCUGGAGUGCGUGGGGGACCGGCUGUUGGCGGGCUGGAGUGCAGUGGCACGGUCUCGGCUCCCUGCAACCUCCGCCUCCCAGGUUCAAGUGAUUCUCCUGCCUCAGCCUCCGGAGUAGCUGGGAUUACAGGUGAGGGUCCCGAUGUCCUGGUGUACAGCUUGGACUUUGGUGGGCAUCUGCGGAUGAUAAAGCGAGUGCAGAACCUGCUUGGCCACUAUCUUAUCCAUGGCUUCCGGGUACGGCCAGAGCCUAAUGGAGACCUUGACUUGGAGGCCAUGGUGGCUGUGUUUGGAAGCAAGGGACUCCGAGUUGUGAAAAUUAGCUGGGGACAGGGCCACUUCCGGGAGCUUUGGCGCUCUGGCCUGUGGAACAUGUCUGACUGGAUUUGGGAUGCACGCUGGCUUGAGGGAAAUAUAGCCUUGGCCCUGGGCCACAACUCAGUGGUGCUAUAUGACCCUGU